UACGAAGGGUGCAAGCGUUACUCGGAAUUACUGGGCGUAAAGCGUGCGUAGGUGGUGAGUUAAGUCUGUCGUGAAAGCCCCGGGCUCAACCUGGGAAUGGCGAUGGAUACUGGCUCGCUAGAGUGCGGUAGAGGAGAGUGGAAUUCCCGGUGUAGCAGUGAAAUGCGUAGAGAUCGGGAGGAACAUCAGUGGCGAAGGCGGCAUCCUGGACCAACACUGACGCUGAGGAGCGAAAGCCAGGGGAGCAAACGGG
RNAcentral lists this ribosomal RNA (253 nucleotides) under uncultured bacterium. Its description in RNAcentral is "partial 16S ribosomal RNA". It matches the Rfam family "Bacterial small subunit ribosomal RNA", at positions 524 to 776 of the family's 1533-position model. The record is from RNAcentral.